RNAcentral lists this long non-coding RNA (628 nucleotides) under Oryzias sinensis (Chinese medaka). RNAcentral describes it as "lncRNA (ENSOSIG00000009822.1)". Lineage: Eukaryota; Metazoa; Chordata; Actinopteri; Beloniformes; Adrianichthyidae. The record is from RNAcentral.
CUUUGCUGUUUUCUGCUCAGAAGAAACUUAUCAACACACCUAAACUCUGUCCUCUCCUGCAGUGCAUUGUGGGUACCUGUGCCUCCUGUCCCUGUUGGGGACCGUCUUGGUGGCUGGAAGGUCAAUCAGGAAGCGUAAUGCUGAAAUGCAGAGCGUCAUUGAGAACCUGCUGGAGGCGCUGAGCAAAUACAGCAGCGACAUUUCAAACGACGUGAGACUCUUGUUCCACUCUCACCCCUAAAAUAUCCUCCUGCAACCGUCUGAGCUCUGAAACACAAUCUUCUGGUUUUUCUCAUCAGGGCGUGCCUGAUAUUUCUUGCACGGAGCAGUUUGAAAACUCAGGAAAGUUACAGGAUGGAGACUCUAACCACAAGACCACGUACCUCAACCUCUUGCAGUACCAGAAGCAUGUUGAAGCCCUGCAUCGUCUUCCAAGCAGAGCCUCUCUGCAGGAAGCUGCUGUCAUGAACCAGGACCUGCUGCAGCACCUGGUGAGUCCCUGCAUGCUGAGCGGAGCCGGAGCCGUUUCAACAUCCGUCCAGUUCAGGGAUCUUCUCCUGCAUGUAGUGGGAGAUGUCAGCAAAAGCUCAGUUUUCCUCAAAUAUUCCCCCUUUAUAGUUUUUUUUAU